This 497-nucleotide ribosomal RNA is filed under the name uncultured bacterium. RNAcentral's name for it is "partial 16S ribosomal RNA". It matches the Rfam family "Bacterial small subunit ribosomal RNA", at positions 28 to 507 of the family's 1533-position model. The record is from RNAcentral.
GAUGAACGCUGGCGGCGUGCCUAAUACAUGCAAGUCGAGCGAACGGACGAGAAGUUUGCUUCUCUGAUGUUAGCGGCGGACGGGUGAGUAACACGUGGAUAACCUACCUAUAAGACUGGGAUACCUUCGGGAAACCGGAGCUAAUACCGGAUAAUAUUUUGAACCGCAUGGUUCAAAAGUGAAAGACGGUCUUGCUGUCACUUAUAGAUGGAUCCGCGCUGCAUUAGCUAGUUGGUAAGGUAACGGCUUACCAAGGCAACGAUGCAUAGCCGACCUGAGAGGGUGAUCGGCCACACUGGAACUGAGACACGGUCCAGACUCCUACGGGAGGCAGCAGUAGGGAAUCUUCCGCAAUGGGCGAAAGCCUGACGGAGCAACGCCGCGUGAGUGAUGAAGGUCUUCGGAUCGUAAAACUCUGUUAUUAGGGAAGAACAUAUGUGUAAGUAACUGUGCACAUCUUGACGGUACCUAAUCAGAAAGCCACGGCUAACUACGUG